This 486-nucleotide ribosomal RNA is filed under the name uncultured bacterium. RNAcentral describes it as "partial 16S ribosomal RNA". It matches the Rfam family "Bacterial small subunit ribosomal RNA", at positions 30 to 507 of the family's 1533-position model. The record is from RNAcentral.
AUUGAACGCUGGCGGCAUGCCUUACACAUGCAAGUCGAACGGCAGCACGGGUGCUUGCACCUGGUGGCGAGUGGCGAACGGGUGAGUAAUACAUCGGAACAUGUCCUGUAGUGGGGGAUAGCCCGGCGAAAGCCGGAUUAAUACCGCAUACGAUCCACGGAUGAAAGCGGGGGACCUUCGGGCCUCGCGCUAUAGGGUUGGCCGAUGGCUGAUUAGCUAGUUGGUGAGGUAAAGGCCUACCAAGGCGACGAUCAGUAGCUGGUCUGAGAGGACGACCAGCCACACUGGGACUGAGACACGGCCCAGACUCCUACGGGAGGCAGCAGUGGGGAAUUUUGGACAAUGGGCGAAAGCCUGAUCCAGCAAUGCCGCGUGUGUGAAGAAGGCCUUCGGGUUGUAAAGCACUUUUGUCCGGAAAGAAAUCCUUGACUCUAAUACAGUCGGGGGAUGACGGUACCGGAAGAAUAAGCACCGGCUAACUACGUG